Molecule: ribosomal RNA, 253 nt
Filed under: uncultured bacterium
Lineage: Bacteria
Description: partial 16S ribosomal RNA
Rfam family: Bacterial small subunit ribosomal RNA
Source: RNAcentral
UACGGGGGGGGCAAGCGUUGUUCGGAAUUACUGGGCGUAAAGGGCUCGUAGGCGGCCAACUAAGUCAGACGUGAAAUCCCUCGGCUUAACCGGGGAACUGCGUCUGAUACUGGACGGCUUGAAUCCGGGAGAGGGAUGCGGAAUUCCAGGUGUAGCGGUGAAAUGCGUAGAUAUCUGGAGGAACACCGGUGGCGAAGGCGGCAUCCUGGACCGGCAUUGACGCUGAGGAGCGAAAGCCAGGGGAGCAAACGGG